RNAcentral lists this ribosomal RNA (253 nucleotides) under uncultured bacterium. RNAcentral's name for it is "partial 16S ribosomal RNA". It matches the Rfam family "Bacterial small subunit ribosomal RNA", at positions 524 to 776 of the family's 1533-position model. The record is from RNAcentral.
UACGGAGGGGGCAAGCGUUAUUCGGAAUUAUUGGGCGUAAAGGGCGCGUAGGCGGCUAGAUGUGUCAAAGGUGAAAUCCCUCGGCUCAACUGAGAAACUGCCUUUGAAACUGUCUGGCUUGAGGCCGGGAGAGGGUAGCGGAAUUCCCAGUGUAGCGGUGAAAUGCGUAGAUAUUGGGAGGAACACCAGUGGCGAAGGCGGCUACCUGGACCGGUUCUGACGCUGAGGCGCGAAAGCGUGGGUAGCAAACAGG